UACGUAGGGUGCGAGCGUUGUCCGGAAUUAUUGGGCGUAAAGGGCUCGUAGGCGGUUUGUCGCGUCGGGAGUGAAAACCUCGGGCUUAACUCGGGGCUUGCUUUCGAUACGGGCAGACUAGAGGUAUGCAGGGGAGAACGGAAUUCCUGGUGUAGCGGUGAAAUGCGCGGAUAUCAGGAGGAACACCGGUGGCGAAGGCGGUUCUCUGGGCAUGAUCUGACGCUGAGGAGCGAAAGCGUGGGGAGCGAACAGG
Molecule: ribosomal RNA, 253 nt
Filed under: uncultured bacterium
Lineage: Bacteria
Description: partial 16S ribosomal RNA
Rfam family: Bacterial small subunit ribosomal RNA
Source: RNAcentral